UUUCGAGGUAGGAGUCGACUCCUGUGAGGUAUGGUGCUGGGUGCAGAUGCAGUGUGGCUCUGGAUAGCACCUUAUGGACAGUUGUGUCCCCAAGGAAGGAUGAGAAUAGCUACUGAAGUCCUAAAGAGCAAGCCUAACUCAAGCCAUUGGCACACAGGCAUUAGACAGAAAGCUGGAAGUUGAAAUGGUGGAGUCCAACUUGCCUGGACCAGCUUAAUGGUUCUGCUCCUGGUAACGUUUUUAUCCAUGGAUGACUUGCUUGGGUAAGGACAUGAAGACAGUUCCUGUCAUACCUUUUAAAGGUAUGGAGAGUCGGCUUGACUACACUGUGUGGAGCAAGUUUUAAAGAAGCAAAGGACUCAGAAUUCAUGAUUGAAGAAAUGCAGGCAGACCUGUUAUCCUAAACUAGGGUUUUUAAUGACCACAACAAGCAAGCAUGCAGCUUACUGCUUGAAAGGGUCUUGCCUCACCCAAGCUAGAGUGCAGUGGCCUUUGAAGCUUACUACAGCCUCAAACUUCUGGGCUCAAGUGAUCCUCAGCCUCCCAGUGGUCUUUGUAGACUGCCUGAUGGAGUCUCAUGGCACAAGAAGAUUAAAACAGUGUCUCCAAUUUUAAUAAAUUUUUGCAAUCCA
This 632-nucleotide long non-coding RNA is filed under the name Homo sapiens (human). RNAcentral's name for it is "non-protein coding GAS5:15". Lineage: Eukaryota; Metazoa; Chordata; Mammalia; Primates; Hominidae. The record is from RNAcentral.